Molecule: ribosomal RNA, 392 nt
Filed under: uncultured eukaryote
Lineage: Eukaryota
Description: SSU rRNA
Rfam family: Eukaryotic small subunit ribosomal RNA
Source: RNAcentral
AGCUCCAAUAGCGUAUAUUAAAGUUGUUGCAGUUAAAAAGCUCGUAGUCGGAAAUCGGGGUGAUUCAUGGGCCCGGUCUGCCGGGAUGGCGUGUACUGGCUCAUUCAUCCUUCCUUCCAGUCAGCUACUUUUCGCUCUUAACUGAGCGUUGAGCAAGCUCUGGAUCGUUUACUUUGAAAAAAUUAGAGUGUUUAAAGCAGGCCCAUUUGUGCCUUGAAUAUUGCAGCAUGGAAUAAUGGAAUAGGGUUUUGUACCCGUUUUCGUUGGUUUUUGCGUACAGAACAAUGGUCAAUAGGAACGGUUGGGGAUAUUCAUAUUUAAUUGCUAGAGGUGAAAUUCUUGGAUUUAUGAAAGAUGAACUUCUGCGAAAGCAUUUAUCAAGGAUGUUUUCA